GAGACACCCUUAUGGGGCAGGACUUGCUUCAGUGGGGCUUUGGUGCUCACUGAGUCUGCCACCUGAGUGUGUCUCU
Molecule: non-coding RNA, 76 nt
Organism: Myotis brandtii (Brandt's bat)
Lineage: Eukaryota; Metazoa; Chordata; Mammalia; Chiroptera; Vespertilionidae
Source: Rfam